UGAGGAAUAUUGGGCAAUGCCCGCAAGGGUGACCCAGCAACGCCGCGUGAAGGAUGAAGGCCGUAAGGUUGUAAACUUCUGUUAGAGGGGACGAAUGGUUCUGGUAGCACCAGAAUUUGACUGUACCCUCAGAGAAAGCCCCGGCUAACUACGUGCCAGCAGCCGCGGUAAUACGUAGGGGGCAAGCGUUGUCCGGAUUUACUGGGUGUAAAGGGCGCGCAGGCGGAUUGACAAGUCAGAGGUGAAAUCCUGCAGCUUAACUGCAGAACUGCCUUUGAAACUGUCAAUCUUGAGUACGGAAGAGAGAGACGGAAUUCCAGGUGUAGUGGUGAAAUACGUAGAUAUCUGGAAGAACACCAGUUGCGAAGGCGGUCUCUUGGUCCGUUACUGACGCUCAGGCGCGAAAGCGUGGGUAGCAAACAGG
RNAcentral lists this ribosomal RNA (424 nucleotides) under uncultured prokaryote. Its description in RNAcentral is "bacterial SSU rRNA". It matches the Rfam family "Bacterial small subunit ribosomal RNA", at positions 355 to 776 of the family's 1533-position model. The record is from RNAcentral. RNAcentral also lists the same sequence under 1 other name.